GACGAACGCUGGCGGCGUGGAUUAGGCAUGCAAGUCGAACGGUAUCAUCCUUUCGGGGGUGAGAGAGUGGCGAACUGGUGAGUAACACGUAGGUUAUCUACCCUCAAGACGGGGACAACCCAGGGAAACUUGGGCUAAUACCGGAUGUGAGCAACUUUUAGUUGUUUGAAAGGUGGCGUAAGCUGUCGCUUGGGGAUGAGCCUGCGUCCUAUUAGUUAGUUGGUGAGGUAACGGCUCACCUAGGCAAUGAUAGGUAGGCGGCCUUAACGGGUGGUCGCCCACACUGGGAUUGAGAUACGGCCCAGACUCCUACGGGAGGCAGCAGUCGAGAAUAGUCUACAAUGGUCGGAAGACUGAUAGUGCGACGCCGCGUGAACGAUGAAUCCCUUCGGGGUUAAAGUUCUUUUAUAUGUGAGCAGUGCUUCUUAUAUUAACAGUAUGGGGAAGAGAUAUUAGCAUAUGAAUAAGCAACGGCUAACUCCGUGCCCAGCAGCCGCGGU
Molecule: ribosomal RNA, 500 nt
Filed under: uncultured bacterium
Lineage: Bacteria
Description: bacterial SSU rRNA
Rfam family: Bacterial small subunit ribosomal RNA
Source: RNAcentral